GUCUACAGUCAUACCACCCUGAAUGCGCCUGAUCUCAGAAGCUAAGCAGGGUCGGGCCUGGUUAGUACUUGGAUGGGAGAAGUAAAUAAAAGCGCAAAGGUAAUGAUGGCU
This 111-nucleotide ribosomal RNA is filed under the name Saimiri boliviensis boliviensis (Bolivian squirrel monkey). The record is from RNAcentral. Lineage: Eukaryota; Metazoa; Chordata; Mammalia; Primates; Cebidae.